Molecule: RNA transcript, 2207 nt
Organism: Juglans microcarpa x Juglans regia
Lineage: Eukaryota; Viridiplantae; Streptophyta; Magnoliopsida; Fagales; Juglandaceae
Exons: 3
Source: RefSeq, a predicted model, not a curated record
UUGUCUUCCCCAAAAACACGAACUAAACCCCUCUACACACGCGCACGCAAGUCCACACACGUACCGAGCUGCCAGCCGUGAAUCGUGAUGGGAAAGCCGGACGAAAAGCGAAUACAAAACAAAAGCAGGGCGAAGUUGAAUAGUUGAAGUCAGUCGAGCGAGUGACCCUCUCUGUCAAACAAUAAAAGCUGCUCUCUCUCUCCACCUUCCUCUCUCACUUUCCUUUUUUUUUAUAGGUCACAGCUUUCCUUUCCGUAUUUGGCCGUUUUUGGUGCAAUUUUCUGUGGUCGCCGUCGGUACUGUUUGAUUGUUCUGAAAGAAGUCAGGCUUUGGCGACGUGUCACCGACAUCUGUAUGUCAUGCAUGAGAGGGUGAAGGGGAUCGACACAAGGGAGGCUGUGGUGAAUGAAGAGAGAGAGAGAGAGAGAGAGAGAGGGCUUUUCAUUUCUAUGGCGCGUGGCUACUGGGGUUUUUUCUUGGUCCUAGAAAACCCUAAAUCCUUAUUUUCCCGGUUUUACACCAAAAGAAAAUGAGAUCACGGAUUGCUAGUCACUUUUGGUUUAUUUCCUUAAACGUGUCUCACUACUGCGUCUCAGAUCUGACUCAAUAUAUAUAUAUAUAUAUAUAUAUAUAUUUUUUUUUUUUAUCUUCUUUGUGUUUGUAUAUAUUCUGAAUCUUUUACUUUUUCGUUUCCACAUUUGGGAAGUUUUUAUAUCUUUACUCAUUUCAUCGCUUUUGCUUCUUCUCUCUAAUUUCUGUUUCUCUGGGACAUUGAAAUUGACAGAAGAGAGUGAGCACACAGAGGCACUUGGUAUAAGUCUAUACUAUUGCUUUUGCGUGCUCACUUCUCUUUCUGUCAGAUUCCAGUGCCGGAGAAGGCCAAAAUAUUAUCAUCCCCUCCGUCCUGUCUUUUGUUCCAGAAUCUCACUCUAAUAUUAUCUCUGAUCUUCUUCUUGGCUUUGUGGGACUUCCAACUUCAAGAGCAGCUCAUCAGGAAAAUAGGGGAUUGAAUGGGUGAUGAAAAAUAGUAACUCGUCGUCUUUUUUCCUUUUUUCAAAUUCCACCAAUAAUUUUAUGUGCAAUUACAUAUAUUAUAGUUUUAAUUGUUGUAAGCGUGACUUUUGAUGGUGUUUUUCCAACAAGGUAAGGCUGUUUACCGUGCGGAUUGGGGCGGUAAACCUUGUUUAUAUCACGGGACCAUUCACGUUAUGUAGGAGUAGUAUGGUCCUCACAAACCCUCUUUUAUCCUUCACCCUUUCCAGCUUCUUGGUUAGAACUAUUAUCAUCUUUGUAGCGCCGUUCCCCUAUUUAAUUCCUGCGCAUGCGUUUUUCACCCGAUCGAGAUUUGAUUCUUAUGGGGUUUUUUUUCUCAACUGAACCAAGCCAGAGUUUGGUUGCUCGUUAUCUCCUUUCAGAUAUAUAUAUAUUAUUGUUCCUAUGGGGUUUGAAACCCUAUUGUUUUGGCACGAGUACAGAAGGGUUUUCUAGGUCUAAGUGAUCUAGCCUAAUCUUGUCACUUACAUGCCUUACUAAUGGGUCUUUGGAGAUAAUAACUAAUCUCGAUAUGAUCUUUGAAACAAGUUUUAGCAUUUUUCAUCAUAUGUUCUGAUUUGAUGGGACAUGUUAUGCGUAGAACAGAUGUAAAACCUUUGGAUUAGGUCAUGUUAAUGAGAAUUUUACAGAAGAAGCCGUGUUGUUUCUUUGAGGUUUUGCAGGCCGGCGAGGAUAUUUAAUGGAUCCGUCAACUCAAAUGUCAUCAGAUCGAAAUCUUUCUCCGAAGAAAACUUGUCAAACAGGUUUUGUCCCGGUUUUGAGAAAAACCUGCAUGCAAUGAGCGACAAAUACCUGGAUGAGGGUAGCAUGCAUGUGUGCGGAUCGAGGUGUUUAAUUGAUGGUUUGAGGAAGAAACAAGCGGUAUGGUGCAUGGUUAAUGUCUUUCUGAUUAUGAAAAAGCGGCGGGCAGGAAAUUAUGUGAAAAUUGUUGUAAAUGCGUACAUAAACUUUGUGGGUAAUCAUAUUGCAUGUUUAUUCUCAUGUGCCUAUAAAAGUAUGGUUAGAAAAGGUUGUACGUGUCGAGUACUACCAUUUGCAACAACCAAGAAAUUCGAGGUAAAUGAUGUUGAGAUUUUUAAAAGCUAGUUUUAUGUAUCACAAUCUUUAAAUUUUCUUGUUACUUCUUUUUAAUUUUACAAUACAAUUUCAGCAGU